UACGUAGGUGGCAAGCGUUGUCCGGAUUUACUGGGCGUAAAGAGCGCGCAGGCGGUCGAUUUAGUCGCGUGUGAAAGCCCUCGGCUCAACUGGGGAGGGUCACGCGAUACUGAUCGACUCGAAGGCAGGAGAGGGUAGUGGAAUUCCCGGUGUAGUGGUGAAAUGCGUAGAUAUCGGGAGGAACACCAGUGGCGAAGGCGACUACCUGGCCUGUUCUUGACGCUGAGGCGCGAAAGCUAGGGAGCAAACGGG
This 252-nucleotide ribosomal RNA is filed under the name uncultured bacterium. Its description in RNAcentral is "partial 16S ribosomal RNA". It matches the Rfam family "Bacterial small subunit ribosomal RNA", at positions 524 to 776 of the family's 1533-position model. The record is from RNAcentral.